UGCACCUGAGUCCGACAUCGUAGAAGGACCAUUUUUGCAUCAGAUUGGAUUUUGCACCUGAGUCCGACAUCGUAGAAGGACCAUUUUUGCAUCAGAUUGUAAGUAUUAAAUUUCUUUAUCAUUUUCCUAAAUAACAUUUAUGAAUAUCUUACAAAUUGACCCUUAAAAUUGCAUUUUUAUGCUUCGAAGGACUAAUUUUUACUUGUUUUAGGGAUUUUGCACCUGAGUCCGACAUCGUAGAAGGACCAUUUUUGCAUCAGAUUGGAUUUUGCACCUGAGUCCGACAUCGUAGAAGGACCAUUUUUGCAUCAGAUUGUAAGUAUUAAAUUUCUUUAUCAUUUUCCUAAAUAACAUUUAUGAAUAUCUUACAAAUUGACCCUUAAAAUUGCAUUUUUAUGCUUCGAAGGACUAAUUUUUACUUGUUUUAGGGAUUUUGCACCUGAGUCCGACAUCGUAGAAGGACCAUUUUUGCAUC
Molecule: long non-coding RNA, 475 nt
Organism: Dalotia coriaria
Lineage: Eukaryota; Metazoa; Arthropoda; Insecta; Coleoptera; Staphylinidae
Exons: 3
Source: RefSeq, a predicted model, not a curated record